CUUCAUCUUCAUCUAAGAAGUUAACUUCUUCGUCCAGUACACAGUCUACUAAAGCCCCAUCUCCUCUUCGUUCUCCAGAAAAGAAGGAUGUCCAAAAGAAGCCAGUAAAUACAUCCUCUCAGAAGUCUUCUGAUUCGAGAUCGCGGGUAGGGGUCGAGGCGGAGUAAAACCAGCUGCAUGUGGUCCCGGAGAUCGACGACUCUC
This 204-nucleotide long non-coding RNA is filed under the name Mytilus galloprovincialis (Mediterranean mussel). The record is from RNAcentral. Lineage: Eukaryota; Metazoa; Mollusca; Bivalvia; Mytilida; Mytilidae.